Molecule: small RNA, 849 nt
Filed under: Histoplasma capsulatum G186AR
Lineage: Eukaryota; Fungi; Ascomycota; Eurotiomycetes; Onygenales; Ajellomycetaceae
Description: hypothetical RNA
Source: RNAcentral
GCUAACCAGCACAAAAGAUACUCAAUUUUUAUAUAUAAUACACAUCACAUCAAGCAAAGCAGAGUUUAAUUAAAAGUGUUUUUAUAGUGGGUAAAUUUUUCAUUCAAAUUAGAGUUAUUCAGAUCGCGUGCAGUGGGGAACUGAUCUUCAACACUAGACCGCAAUUGAAUACCACUGUUCUUUCCUCUGAAUUCUCUGCCAAGUGCCAACCUACCUACCUACACGCCUAUCUGCCGGCUCAAUAUCCGAUCAAUUGCUGCUGGAAUAGAAAAUGCUAGCUAUCUGUCUACCUACUGACCUCUGUCGGAAAUAAUAUCUCAUAUAUCAAGGAUCUCAUAACAUCUCGCUAUUUGAAAACUGAGCACUGCCCCUCUGAUAGAUUCAAGCAUUCUCUUCCUUAUAAAUACAGCCUAGUUAUCAUGUAAUUAUCGGAGUCAGAAUAGUCAAUUCGAUUAUCUAUCGAUAUUCAGAUUUUGGGUCAAUAUUCGGACAUUAUCCAGUUCCAACAACCUCUCUACCUGCUCGAUAUCCGAUCGAUUGCUAAUAGAAUGGAGAAUGCUAGCUGUCUACCUGCCUACCUACCUAUCUAUCUGCGUGAUAUCCGAUCUAUUACCAAUGGAAUAUAGAAUGCCCGCUAGAUAGCUAGCUACCUAUCUACAUUCUUACCUAUCAACCAACCUUUCUGCUCAAUAUCCAAUCAAUCUCUACGAGAAUAAACGUCGCUAUCUAGCCACUCAUCUAUCGAUCAAUACUAGCUUACUAGCAGACUAUCUAUAUACUGACCUUGAAUGAAUGAUAUCUAGCGAUGAUCUCCAGCGAUGAUAUCUAGCAAUGAUAUCUGUGAUGAUA